Molecule: ribosomal RNA, 1091 nt
Filed under: Megoura nigra
Lineage: Eukaryota; Metazoa; Arthropoda; Insecta; Hemiptera; Aphididae
Description: partial 16S large subunit ribosomal RNA
Source: RNAcentral
UUUUUUAUAAAAAAUAAUUUAUUUAUUUAAUGUUUUAGUAUUUAGUAAAAAUUAAUUUUUAGAUUUAUAGUUUAAUAGUAUUGUAAAAGAAUUAAUUAAAUUUAAAAAAGAAUAUUUUUAGUACCUUUUGUAUCAGGGUUGAUUAAAAUUUUUAAUUUUUUUUUAAUUUCUCAAAAUUUAUAGAGUUAAUUUUAUUAUUAAUUUAUUGUGUUAUAAAUAUUUAUAAAAUAAUAUUAGUUUUGAAAUUUAAUUCGUUAUAUUAUAUUUAGUUAUUUAAGAUUUAAAUUUAAUUUAUAAUUUUAAAAGUUAUAUUGAUUUUAUAUAUAAAUAUUUUAAAUUUGAAUUAUUUUAGGGAUAAGCUUGAAAUUUUUAUAUAAUAAUUUAUUUAUUUUAAUAAUUUAUAGGAAUAGAAAUUUUUAUUUAAGUUUGUAAAAAUUUAUUAUUUAUUUAUUUUUAAUUUAUUAUAAAUUUAUUUAUUUUUUUUAUUAAAUUUUAUUAAUUAAUAUUUAAUUUUUAGUAAUAAUGAUUAAAUUAGUAUAAUUUAAAUUUAUAAAUUAUGAAUUCGGCAAAAAUUAUUUUCAUCUGUUUAACAAAAACAUUGUAUUAAGUUUUAUUUAAUAUAGGAUCUGCUCAAUGAUUUAUUAAAUAGCUGCAGUAUUUUGACUGUGCAAAGGUAGCAUAAUAAUUAGUCUUUUAAUUGAGGACUUGUAUGAAAGAUUUGAUGAGAAAUAGACUUUAUUAUUUAUAAAAUUAAAAUUUUAUUUUUAAGUAAAAAAGCUUAAAUUAUUUAAAGGGGACGAUAAGACCCUAUAAAACUUUAUAAAUAUUAAUUUUAAUUUUUUUGGAUUAAUAAAUAUUUUAUUUUUAUUAUUUAUUUUAUUGGGGUGAUAAAAAAAUUUAUUAAACUUUUUUCAAAAUUUUACAUUAUUUAAUGAAUAUUUGAAUUAAAAUUUUUAAUUAAAGGAAAAAGUUACUUUAGGGAUAACAGCGUAAUUAGUUUUUUAAGUUCAAAUUUAAAAAUUAGUUUGCGACCUCGAUUUCCUUUUAUAUGAUUCUUAGGUGCCCAAUUUUAAGUAUUAGGUCUGUUAACC